GCUGAAUGGUGGCUAAUGCGGACUGUCUCACCACAGCCACGUUGAGUGUUUGCGGGUUAAACAGUCAGAACGUGGCCUCUUCUUAAAAUACCUCUCCUCUGAAAACCUCUCACGUGCUCGCACGAACACAAGUAGACGAGCAGGAGCACGUUCAGACAGACAGGCGAUCGGUUCAAAACCAAGCCACGUGCUGCCUCUCAUCGCUCAGCCUGUGUGCGACUACGCUUUGCCAACUCGCGCAGGCUGCAGCCCAAACAUGUGACGCUCAACUCUGAGGGGGUAUGGAUCGGUUCCUGAAAGCCAUCCUGAUGGACGUGAGGAGCUGUGACGCUGAGGAACAGUGCAGGACAAACACAGUAGGCAGCAUUGAUCAUCAUACACCCUGUGCGGCACAAAGUGGUAUUGAGAGGGGGGCCAAUAUGUGACAUUGAUUGGUGGAAUAAUGGGGCUUCAAGAAGAGUUGAACACAAAGAGCGAGCGCCACAGACGAGGGGACGACAGCUGGACGCCGUGAAAGUGGCUGCGUGUGGACUUUGGGCUUCUCGCGUCCGUCUGUCUCACUGCCUGUGGAGCGACGGCCGCCACGUUUCCAACCAUGCAUGCGUGAGGAACGUUACACAGCUGCUGCAUCACGAGCCCAGGUUCUGGUCGUCUCUGCGUCUCUGAGAGCGCGGACGUGUUUGUUUGCGUGAGAGACGGAGUCGGACAGAAGACCACCCCCCAUCACAGCAGUGAUGUAGUCCAGCCAUCAGACUUCCAUCAAACAUGCGUCAGGUCUAACUGCUACUUAAACCGAAACGCAGGAAUCUCACUGGAGGCAAAUUGCAGCUUGUAGCUUGUGUAGCAGCGGCACAGACGCGAGAAGACGAGGGUCCGGUUGGAGCGGCGGGUGAUUCGUAUGCUCAACACGGCACCUCCCCAGAUUUACAGACCGAUGGAUCGGAUCCUGCCUCCUUCUUUAUAUCUGCACGUGAAUACGAAGCAGAAAAACACAAUUUCAUCUGAAUCCAGGGUCUUUGCAGGGAUGAGGAAGUCUUUGAGGAAACAACUGCAUUUCAUUUUAAAACCACUGAUUCCAAACAUACCUGCAUGUAUAUGGAACAUUUAACACAGAACAUUCAGUCGCUUUGGUAUCUUUUUGUCUUCUUCUGAUUGAUAUAUUGAUCAAUGGGAUCCUCCUGUGAAGGUGCUGUAUUUCCCCUGUGCCUUUGGGUCAGAGGCUCGUCCUCAGUCGCUCCAGUUGUUUUCCAGUUCAUCAUCACGCUGACACACCGUGACCUCAGGACAACAGCAGCAGCGAGGGGGCAUCGAUAUGUGACAACACGAGCGUCUGCACAACCUGACUCUUGAAGAGCAUCACAAGAGGGUGGACAGGAUGUGUCACGUGACUGACUCUUCAACACGUGUUCCUUUAAUCCCUCCAUAAAUGAACAGAUUCCUCCUCAGCACGCGUGGAAAAGUGUGCCAUCCGUCGAGGCUUUCCUUCUUUGUUGAGAUCCUGGCAUUAAAUUAGGGAUAAAUCUAUUAGAUUUGUUUUCUCAAUGAGCCAUUAUUUAUCUCUAUUCUGAAUUCAUGGGAACAGAAGCAGGUGUAGUUGGUUUUUCAUUAACACACUGAAGGCAGGGACACAAUUAAGCGGCGCACACAUGCUCGUGUACCAGCUGUUCCUUGAGCUCUUGCAUGUAAUUGCGUGAUGAUGUGUGUUAGGUAAACUGUAAAAUCCUGACUUUGAUUUGCAUGUUGCUGUUGUGUGGCUCCGUGUUUCGGGCUGGAUUUUGUCAUUGCUCAACAGUAAAAUCGGCAGGAGAGGGAAGUUUAAAAUGGGUGAAGGAGAAAGAAGGGAGGAAAAACGAGGACGCCUUUGUCAAGAGGAGCGAGAGGGAAUUCGGGAAGGCAGAGCUGAAGCUUCGCCAUCACAGACAGAGGUGGAUGUGGAAGUACAAGGACCCACAAAAGGAGGUCGAAGAGAUUAUGAAGGAGGCAGAAAAGGCAGCAGAUAGUGAGUUCCCACGGCAGGUAAACAGUGAUGGAGCAGAGGAGAGCGAGCAGCUGUGGCAGCAGCACGGAGGUUAUAAUGAAGGACGGGAGGAAGAGGCUGGCCCCUAAUGGGCCCAUGACACGUGUGCUGGAGUAAACACAUGGAAUGUGGCCGGUGGAGGAGGGAUGGACGGAGCGAAUGAGCCGUCGACGGCGUCCCAUCAGCUCCCCGUUGUCUCGCCUCGCUCUCGUCCCGCCCCGCGGCGCCGACAGCUCCUGAUAGAGCCGUCCUAAUGGGAGCACGCGGUGAUUGACAGCCGCGCACAGAGCUGACAGCACGUAAAGGUCACAUUAGCGCCCGCUGAGAUGGAUACCGCCGAGCGGAGGGACGGGCGACAGUGGGAGGAAGCAGGUGAGCGAGAGAGGAGGAAAUGUCAGAAAGCCUGGAAGCGGGAGACGGCCGCCAUCAAUGGAGAGGAGGGAAGUACAAAGGACGGGUCCAUGUGUGUAAAGCAGUAGUUUGUAGAACAAUCUCACAGAGAAGCUUUUCCUUCUCCUUCCACUACAAAAUGCUCUGGCUUGGUUUCACGGCCUCCCAUCGCUCAGCGCUAAAGAGCAGGAGAAGCUAAUGGCAACCGCUGAACGGUGGAGUGUUUGCUGUACUGACGUCUCAGACUGAGACCUCGCUGCCUGUCAGGUGGAGAAAACACACGUCUGAAGGAAUCCCAGUGUUUUUGUGGGUGAUGUUACCGUUUGACUGCGUCCAGUGUGCUGCAGCGUCAUGCAGACACACACUGUAGCAGGAGAACGGCACACGUACUGUACAGUGACCUCAGAUGGGAGUGUGUUUCUGUGAAGUGGCCUCUUUGUCGAGGCUAUUUUCCAGAAGGGUUAAUUAAAUCACCGCUCUGAUCAAUCAGGUGGCAUUAAUUCAGUGUUUUGAAGCCGACGUCCUGUUAAAGUCGAACACGCUGAUACGCUCUAAUUGCCCACUUUUGUUCUGCUCGUCCAUUGUUAAACUCGUGUUUUGUUGGGUUUCUCAUUGUGUGAAAACUCCGGUUUGCUGUCGCGACGGAGCAGACGUCUCCGUGCUGCGCUCCCGUGUCUCCGCUGCAGCCUUGACCUUUCACCUUCUGCACAGCAGCUCUUCAGCUCUGACGGCGACGGCAUCAUGACAUUUCAUUGUGGAUCUGGAGACGGCAAUGAGACGCCUUCUGUUUCCUCCUCCCGCUCCUGCUGCAUCUCACCCUCCUCCCUUUUCUCACCCCUCGCUACUCGUGUGCAGUUGGUGCGUGGACAGAUAUGUGUUUGUGCGUACAUCUGCUUAUUGUGGAGCUCUCCACCUGUGUCUGCGAGGUCCCGGCCGUGUUCAGGGCAAAGGAACGCAGUCAGUACAACUUGCUGCAGUUGUUUGCGCGUGACAGUGAGGGACGACGGAGCGUUUUCAUGCAUAUUUGUGUUUGAGUGAACGUUUGAGGCGAGAGACGGAGUUUGGGAGUGUGUUUACUGCUGUCGGUGGCCAGAUGGCUGUGAAAGCUGCAGCAUCAUUUCAGAACAGAGGAAAUCAGCUUUACACAGAGGAUGGUGUGUGUGUCUGGGAGCCCUUCACACUGAGAUCCGCAGGGGAGUGUGUGUGUGUGUGUGCGUGUGUGUGCGUGUGUGUGUGUGUGUGUGUGUGUGCUCCUGGCCUUUUGUCAUUACGAGCACCAGGAAUCCUCCAAACUCAUUUUGCAGGUCAUCACUUUGAAAGGGCGAGCGGUGGCUUGAGGUGAGGGCCGGAUGAAAACGCUGCUUUAUUACAACUAGGAGCUUGUUUGUGUAGUUUUUACCACCAACGGAAGUGAAAAACUCUUGUUUCUAAAUUUAUUAGGAAAGUCGGGUAGUGAUACGCUGCUACAAAAGAGCCCAACUUUCAGUCAGGUUGCAGGAAAUAAUCAGCUUAACAACGUAAACAGAGCUCAGCAGGGAGCAUUUUCACCAGAGAAACAGUCCAGAGGGGAUUUGUUGGAUAUCAACGGUUUAAAGAGCUCAUGUUCCCUGUCUGUUUCAUUGCCACGUCCUUCCAACGCCUCCUCAGCUGCAGCUGAGCCUCUGACUGUCCCUUCAUCCUGGUCCUUUCCUUCUGUUCUACACGUCCACGCUGCGUCUCUACUGUGAAUGAGCUGCAACUGAGAUGUGUUUUCCACUGAUCCAUGGAAGAGUUUACUGAAGUGACUGAAACGUCUCCCUUCAGCGAAUCACUAAACACCAGUGGAAUGUCGUCACAAGGGCACAGGACACAUGCAUGUUUCUGACUGUAUCUGCAUUACAAUGAAGUCAUGACAUUUAAAGACUUCAUUACUCUGUGAUGAAUGUGUCCCUCUUUGCUAAUUUAUAGAGUCCUGAUCUGAUGAAUGAGGACGAUAAAAGUAGGAAGGUUGGACGAGAAAGAGGAUGAAACACGUAGAUGUUUGAAGUAAAGAGUAAAGAGAAGCUGCCUGUCGCUGCUCCAUCACCAAACAGCCCAUAGACGAUUCUGCUGAAGAGCUCGACAGACGUCACCAGAGGCGCCGACAGAGAAACAUCAGCUCGGCCACGCUGCCCGGAGACAGACGCUGAAGUUUGAUCUGGUACCUGUGUAAUGAAUGGGAGUCAGCGGAGCGGCAUCUGCAAAGCAACGCCGCGCUCUGAGAUGUGCGGCCGAAAGAAAAACAGGCCUAGAUGGUGUCGGCUUUGAUAAGUCUCAACGUGUCAACUGUGAGGCAUCUCAUCUCUCAGCUGCUAUCGAUUGGCCUCAAAGAGUGAAGAAGAGGGGAUAAAGGAGGAAAAGAAAGAUGAUAGCGAGAGGAGAUAAGAGGGAAACGCAGACCUGGGGAGGAGGUGAGGGAAGGAUGCGAGAGAAGGAGGCCAGAAAUGAGUCUAAGUGAAAGAGGAUCUGACAAGCAGGAGUGGAGGAGGAGAGAUGAAAGAGCAGGAGGCGCGGGGACCAGUGGAAACGAGGAGCAAGGCGGAAAAGCACUUUCCUCUGAGGCGGCGGGCGUGAAGGAGAGAAGAACGAGGCCGAGGCGAGCGGCGUGAGCGGAGGAUGGUCCUGUGUGGACGUGAUGAACGGGAACCCUCAAAGCGGCCACUUCACCCACUUGGGCUGCAGCUUCGUUAAUGGAAACAUCCGUCCCACGGUGGGAAGGAGUCCGGCCUCCAUCGGUUCAAAGCCCACGCACCCGUGUACAGUAGGUCUGUACAGUCUGCGCUGCGCUGGGCAUUCAUCCAUGUAGGGAAACUACAUUUGGGAUGUUGGGACUUAAUAAUAGACCCUUUGGUGCCACAUCAUCCAUUCUCACUGUCCUCUUUAUACCAACGAGAUCUAAUUGAAUCUAAUUGGGACAAUUAAAGUGAAAUUGAACCAGAAGAAUUUAUUGAACCAGUUAUCUGUAGUAAUUAGGCAGUAAUUGGCCCAUUGUUAUCGGUACGUGUCCUGGAAGGGCCCACAAAGGCCGGAUGCGUCGUGGUUCUGUACACGGACGCGUUGAACUGUGUUUUCUGUUCGUGGGCAGCAGCAUCACUGAGGGUUCACUUCCACUCAUCAUCCUCUAGCUGUUGACGGUCUCAUCCUGAUGCGUCUACUCCCAGGCAGCAUAUUUGCUCCACGAGUAUUGAUUGAAAUCACAUUUACUCACCACACGUUGACAAAAACUAAAUUAAUACAGCCGGCUGAGAAGGAGGGAGGAAAUGAGGAAAGGAGGCGACUGGAGAGGUCAGAUGAGUUAAAUGAGAUGAGAUGGUGGCGCACAAUAAACAGCAGGACGGUGAUUAAAGCUGGCGACGGCCCAGCGGACGUCAGGGCUUCAUGUUUUGGUGGUCUCUUUAAAAAGCUCCUAAUGCUGGAGCCAAAAGGAGCAUGGGCCUACAGACUGACACACAGACCAAGCUACAGACUGACCUACAGACUGACACACAGACUGACCUACAGACUGACACACAGACCUAGCUACAGACUGACACACAGACUGACACACAGACUGACCUACAGACUGACCUACAGACUGACCUACAGACUGACACACAGACCUAGCUACAGACUGACCUACAGACUGACACACAGACCUAGCUACAGACUGACACACAGACAGAAUUACAGACUGAAUCACAGACUGAGCUACAGACUGAAUUACAGACUGAAUUACAGACUGAGCUACAGACUGAAUUACAGACUGAAUCACAGACUGAAUCACAGACUGAAUCACAGACCGAGCUACAGACUGACACACAGAUUGACUAAUAGACUGACCCGCAGACUGAAUUACAGACCAACCUGUAGACUGAUACACAGGCUAACCCUCGGACUGAGCUACAGACUGAAACACUGUGUUUAAUAAUUAAAUGAGGAAAGCUCAGGUUAUAGGGAGAGACGUGACCUGGACUUAACCUUUAUAUACUUGUAUUCUCAAGUUCCAACCUGACCCAGAGCGAUAACCUUAAAGCUUGUCCUUAAUUUGCGCCUUUCAAGUUCAAACAUCCCGAGCAGCACUUUCCUCUACCAGACAGUUGACAUUUGGAGCGUGCUUUGUGACUUCUGUGUUAAUUUCACCUGAAAUCCAUGGUGGUGAGGAAUGUGCAGCCCCGAGGCUCAGCUUGGGAAAAUAAAGGUGCCACAUUACCGUGCUUUGUUACCAGAUACAAAUUCAAAUGAAAUGGUAAAACGCUAAAUUACAAUAAGUAACAAACUCAAAACAACGGUGAACGUGUGUCUGGGGAGAAGCUUUACUGCAGCAAUGCUCUCAAAAUCGAGCAGAGGAACAAGAAGUUGAUGAUCCCUCAAAGCAGAGGACACAACAAUCUGAGCACGGAACCUGAGUGUGAAAGGGGAGAACACAUGCCGUCGACACCUUUGCUGCUCGAGGAGCUUUUAAUCCACUUUAAUUUGCAAGUAGGAGCAACAACUGUUUCUCAGUGAUUCCUGUCCCUUCUUUCAACAACAGAGACGUGUUUACAGUAAUGCAGAAUGAGAGCGGAUCGUUUUUUCUGGUGCCUUUGUUCCGGCCUCUCGCGGUACCGCUCAGGAGACGGUCCCGUCUCCUUCCACAGCAGCGCCAGAUCACAGGAAGCAGCAACGAGAGGCGGUCGACGGGAAGUGGGCCUUUAUGGCUCCUAGUUCAAUCCAACUCAGAAGCGCGAGGUCUGCGUGGCCGCAGGUCUGCGCCGGUGGACGCCGUCACCACCAUGUCUUUAAACGAGGCAGCUCACGUCGCCACGGCGUGCGCUUCCUGCUCUUUGUCUCUCGAGGAGUCCACAUCUGCAGCUCGCAGCCACAGCGGGAGGACGGGCCUGCACUGACGCGGCCACGUCCCGCUUCCUCGGCGGCGUCCCGCUUCCUCGGCGGCGUCCCGCUUCCUCAGCCGCGUCCCGCUUCCUCGGCGGCGUCUCGCUUCCUCGGCGGCGUCCCGCUUCCUCGGCCGCGUCCCGCUUCCUCGGCCGCGUCCCGCUUCCUCGGCGGCGUCUCGCUUCCUCGGCCGCGUCCUUCCACUUUCCCUCUCGUUCUAAUCAGGCUUUUGGCUUUCUCUGUGCUGUCUUUAUUCUCAGUAGGACCUGCUUCUUCUUCUCCUGCGAGGACGGAAACACCUCCAACCUCUUUUCCUCGCCACUGUUGGAGUGGUGUUUCAGUGGCUUCGUGUUUUCCUGAGGGGUCUGUGUCAGACUGCCUGAGGUAGCGUCCCCCGUCAGGCUCACAUCCCCCCUCCCCCCCUUCCCUCAGUUCUGUCAGCUGCCCUCCCACCUCUUCUUCUUCCUCCUCCCUCCAUUUUGCUCAAUAUUCCAUCUUAUCCCCAUGGGAUUCCCAGGCCUUAAUUAUUCAUUGUAAUUUGUAGAUUAAUUCUGCAUGGCUUCCUCCCUCAUCACACACACACACGCACACACACACACACACACACACACACACACACACACACACACACACACACACACACACACACACACACACACACACACACACACACACACACACACACACCAGUUCCUUUGCCUCUUUUUAUUUCUUACUUUGUGCCACCGCAGGCGUCUCUCUGCUGCUUACCUUCCCUUCAUCUUUCCUUUCCUGCCGCCUACACCUUCCUUCCUCCUUCCUCUCUCUCUCCCUCCAGUCCUCCAUGUCCGUCCCACAUUUACCUUCUCCUGAUGCUCGCUGCUUCUUUCUUUUGCUCCUCUCGUAGGUGCUUCUGUUUUCCCUCCCUACCUGUACCUGUUCUUUCCUCCCCUCCUCCUCCCCCCUCACUCCCCUCCCCACCGGUGACAGGUUCCAUUAUCAUGUUUCUCACGGCUCGCCUGCUCUCCUCCUGAUGGAUGACCUCACACGAAUAUUAAUUUACUAUAGCAUUAACAAUACCACAUCUUAUUCUACACCCCCCCCCCCUUCCGUCUGCCUCUCUCUCUACCUGCUCUACCCUCUAAACACCCUUCAGCCACUUCUCUCAUUUGCUUUUACUCUUCUCGUGACUUCAUCUCUCUGUGUACUCUUGUCUGCAGUCGCGGAAGCCCUCACAUCACUGACUAUGCAGGCAAAGACAGUGACAUUAAUACAUUCUGCUAACUCAUUGCAGCUAAUCCUUCUAUUUUGAUUCUAGAUGGAGUCUUAACACAAACACAAACAGUAAACAGUGUGUACCUUUCAGGACUACAACAUUAAAUUGAAUGGCAUUUACCGAGGCCCAAUGAAAUCAUUUUGUGAAGCCAAACAGUGAAGCAAUCUACAUAAUUCAUACUGAGCAUCAUGACUCGCAAUGCAUAAUGGAAAUGUUGACUGAAAGGGUGGUGCAUGAUGUAUAGAUCGGUGGUGUGGGCACUAAAGCUGCUGACAUGAGAGGAGAUGGAGAGGAGUGAAGGAGAGAUGAUGGGAGGGAACAGGCCGCUGCUCAGACCUCGGCUUCCUGGACUCUUUCUGCUCCCGCUCACAACCUCCACUGUCGCUCCCACUGUUUUACAUUCUCUCUUUUUCUCACGCGCUUCCCACUUUUUAUCCCAUCAUCGCUCUUGUUGUCUUCAGAGGCUCAUGUACGCGGUAUUUAUCAUCACCUGUCCAGGUUGAUUUGAUGGGCAGGACACGUCUCGGGGCUCGGCUGCUGCAGCCAGACGAUCACAAGGAUUCAUGCUCACUCACCUUCCGUAGAAAAAAUGCACUUAAUUUGCAUUAAUUUAUACAUAUUACGCCUGAGGGCAAAAUGGAAACACAUUAGGAAAGUGCAAAUUGAUUUAAAAAAUCGAAACCUGAAUCUGUCAUUGCAGCCGUGGUUUGUUUACAGCCUGGACAGGUCAGAAACAGGGGAGAACAUUUAAACUACACACAAGAAGACAGAUAUAGAUACUAACACUCAUCUUUAGUCCUGGACUCACCAACCUCACUCAUCAUUACUGAUACAUUUUCCACAAAAAACAUUAGGAAAAAGUGUCAGCAGUGAUGAAAAAGUCAUUCUAUUUUCAGGUCCUUUAUUUCCAGCUAAUGGGCUGACAAAUCUACUGACGCACUUCAGAGUGAAACCUCUAUUACAGCACACUGUGUGUGACAUCUGUGAGUUUCCUUUUUAAAGGACAUCUGUAGACAAAAUCUGAUUUCUACUUUUCGGUUCUUUCCUCCCUCCUGGUCUCAUCCUGUGCCGCUGCGGCUGGUGAGGAGCUCUGAAAGUCUGCGGCUGAAAUAACAAUGCGUUUUAAAUCUGUGCUGGGCUAAUUGCCGUUAGGUAUUUAGAGCAUAAUGCAGUAUACUGUAUGUAUAUCCACCUCAAAGCAGAUGCAAAUAGAGGGAACACUUAACAAACACAGAUGUGGAGCCUUUAGUCAAAGGACUCUCUUCUCACCUAUUACUGUAUGUGCUCACGUGCAUGACAGCAUUAGUGAUGACCUUUUCCAGCCGGUGAAUUACCUCCAGAAGAUUACAAAGGGAGCAGAAAACAACAAAGAGAGCAAAUCUGACAGUUUGAUGGAAAAAAGAGCAGCGAACGGAUCAUUAGUAGGAAAAGCAGGCGGCUAAAAUAAUAGUACUGAUGAAUGAUGUGUGUCAUCGUGCAUAUCUGCAGUGAAUGAAUGAGGAGGGCUCCGUGUUGUGUGUUCUAUAGGAGAGACAAGGAGCCACGACGCUGCAAACAGAGCAUGGUCGACUAUCAGAUACAGGCUCUUCAUUACAUUGAUACAAAGUGGAGUUAAUGUGCACAACACAUAAGAGUGUCCAUUAGGCUCAGACAAAGUGGAAAGGACAGAGGAGUGAGAUUAGACCCGAGUCAGCUAUUACAAGGUUGAGUUAACAACUCAGAGGCCCAACGCACUAUAAUUUGUCUUAGAUGAAACCUCACGGCGCAUUCACAACAUCAGGUUCAGGAGCAAAUCCCACCUACAGCCCUUCAGUGAAAGGAACAGGUCCGACCACGAAGGCCACAGGUUGAAGGAGGGGAGCAGUUGUCUCGAAUAUAGAACAUCCUGUUUUCAUUCAUUUUAAGAAAUGCAUUAAUAAACUGGGUUUUCAUACGUUCCCUUGUACAGUUUGAUGCCAUGGACAGUGCAGGACACUGAGCCGGCACCUCCGCCUGCAGGACCUCCCUCCUCAGUGUGAACGCUCUGAGCCACUGUUCUCCUCUAGAACUAAGUGCUUGUUUGUUAAGUUUGUUCCAGCCCCCGUUCGUCUGCCAAGCGUAAUACACUGGAGCUAAUACACUGUAUCCUAGUGUGGAACCACAGUGAAGCCAUGCGUGGUGGUGAUGUGAAGUCACACUGAGCCAAGGUUUAUACAAGAGGCUUCAUGAAAGGAAAAUCAGGUAUGUUUGUCUGACGCCUCCAAAUGAAUGCGCCACCUGUGCCAAGAGCCGCUGCCUCUGCUGCGCGCGCUCAUAUCUGCGCAUUUGAUCGCGCCUUUCCUUUCAUCUGUAUCUUAUCGGUCCGCUGAAGAGAUUCCACGUUCAAAACAAAUUCUGCUCUUGGAGUGCGUUUGCUCGUUGAUUGUAGCCGCCGAAGCGCCCGCUUUAGUGGAAGCAGGUGCGAUAGGCGCAGAUGAGCCGGAGCGCCUUGGGAGCUCCGCUGACGCCGCUGGUUUGUGGGCUGAGGCUCCAGACGGAGGCAGAGGACAGAUCCAGUCACAGGCCGUGUGUGCAGCCGUGGCCACUUACUCGUUCACUUCCUCUAACGAAGAAACGGGCCCAAUCAGUUAUGGAGCUGAAGCCCAGCGGUAUAAGACACACACACACACACACACACACACACACACACACACACACACGCACGGCGUCUGGACCCGACACACACGCAGCAUCUGGCUGAGAGUUAACUGUUUGGCCUCAAGCAAAAACCUUUUAUGUCUCCGAGCUCCCCGAGCACUCGGAGGAGAGAGGCUCGGCUCGGCUCCGGCUGAUAGAAUCAGGCUGCUGAGAGCUACUUCCAGCUACACCUGCACACUCUUGUGGGUGGAACGCUGUCCAGUGGUGGGGAUGCGUGUUUGCCCACUGGGAGCUGCUUCUCGGGGAUGCAUUGUUGUUCCUGGCAGCUCUGGGAUGGUUUAAAUCCAGCCGUCCUGGGGAGGAAGCUGCCUUUUCUUUAAAUAGCCCCUGUCUAUUUGCAGUAAACUGAAACACCUUGGUGUGUUUUACACAGGUACUAGUAACCCAGCAUUAGCUGCCUGAUGCACUUACUAAUGGAAAAGUCUGGACGUGCCUCAUCUACUUUUGCUAAUGAACGAGUUAGACUCAUCAAGUUGAUGCGCAUCAAGUGCAAAAUGAGCAUAAAUGAUUGCGGUCACAGAUUCAAUUUUCUGCAGGAGAGUGUGUGUGAGUGAGACGAUGAGAAGCUGGAGGCGAAGCGGCGAUGAUGAUGAUGGUGCUGGAGGAGGAAGGAGUGAGAGACGGACUCAGAUCGUUCAACCCGGUGGCCACGUCCUCAGCAGGUCACGUAUGAACCCACACAAUAAAGGCAGAAACUGAGACUUUUUAUAUAAAAAAAAAACAAACAAACACCAGCCACUUCUCAUGAAUAUUUGGUGGACUGAACUAAGUGACAUGUUACACGCUGUAACAGCCUUAAAGCUGCAGGCUUAUUGUUUCAGGCUCUGUGGCACAGAGGAAUAAUCUGUAUCUGGCUUUGACUAAGCAAGCAGCUCAGCAGGAUCAAUUGUGUUGCUGGUCUUCUAAAAGAGAUUUAUUGACACUAAAAAAAGAUAUAGAGCCUCAUCAGUCUUAUCCUGAGAACCUGAUAUUUUAAAACACGGUUUGCAUCGUAAGCAGGCGCGCGGAGCCCCUCGUUCCUCUGCUGUUUAGUCACAGAGGCUUUGGUUUAGUGUUCGCUACAUGGUGAUUAAACGUUAAACCAGUGGCGCCAGAAAUCAACCGGGCUCGAAGCGAGAGUGUUUGUGGCGCGUCGCUGUGCGUCGAGCACCUCGCUAACAGGUGCUGAGUGGCUGCACGUCGCCGUGGAGACACAGAUGCUGAGGCGCCGCCGCUGUAAUCGCCUGGACGUUUACCGGAGGACGUCCCUGCUGAGAUGAACGGCGGGCGACGACAGGCCGCCGCAGACGUCCUCCCAGGUCCGAGCUCAGUGGACCUGAGGCGCCGACACGCAGGCACGGCGCUUGUUUUGGCUGAGAGCAGCCUGGACCGACACCGACACUGGCGUAAUGGCCGCUCCAGGCCAUUACUCUGCUGGACCCCAGGGAGACUAAACAGGAUGAUAAAAACAUAAGAGCAAUAGAAAACCUGAGUGAGCGUCGGUGAGGAGAGAGAAUGUAAUACUGAUAUAUUUUCCAAAUCGAUUGAUGCCUGAGUAAAUGUCCAAUUAAUCUGUUUUAUGAUAGCAGGAUGAGCUCUGCUGGAUGAAAUAUGUAUGAGAGUCCUUCAGACGGCUCUGUCUUUAAAUAUUCUUUUCAUCCUACGCCGAGAGGAAGUGUGUCAGAUGUGUGUGUGUGUGUGUGUGUGUGUGGGUGUGUGUGUGUGUGUGUGUGGUACCUCUAGGAAGCUCUCACUCCUGGGUAGUGGGCUUCAUUCCCACACACACCCAUAACCAUAAACAUGCAUCAACAAGCAUCAAAUCUGUUGACCGCCCGUAUUUAGAAACAUACAAACGUUCCCUGCACAUUUCAUCUCUGAGCGCUAACACAACCGCCCUCGAGACGCACACAAACAAACGCACCCAGCGGAGCGGUUGCAGUGUCUCAGGCCGAGUGAUCAAUCGAUCUUGAUUUCAUCUAAAGCCAAUAAUGGGAGCGGAUCCAGCGUGUGUGUGUGUGUGUGUGUGUGUGUGUGUGUGUGUGUGUGUGUGUGCAGGCAGGGUAAUCGUUGUGUUUAGUUGUGUUUAGUUACACCCUGCCGCCGUCUCCCCCGGCCCUGCUGCUGUUUGUGAGUCUGCACCGUAUGUGUGUAUAUAGGGACUAAUCCUGUUUGUAUUGGAGCAUUAUCGCUGUUGUGCGCUCGUAUAUAAUGGGUUUGCUGGUGUCACUGUGCAGAACCCUGUCCUCUUUGACCACGCGCCCGGACGCUCACGCUGCCAUUAAAGCGCUUUUCUAGUUACUCGAACUGAAAUGAGCUUUAACAUGAGCCACCAGGAAACGAGGGCUUGUUUUAAAGCUCCCGUGUUGCAUCACACUGCAUGUAAGCGAUGUGAGGCUGCAGCUCGUCCCAGUAGGACUGGAGACCUUUUCCAUUUUCACUUUGAAACGUGCACAUACUGUGUUUGAAUUAACAUACAUUUGACUGUACCUCCAACGUCUGGGACUCGCGUUGUCACGUGUGUGUUCAAGGUGCGAGUGGAGGCGUCGGGAGGAGGCACAGCUUGUUUUAUAGAGCUGCCUAAUGUGCUUAAAAGAAAACACAGAUGUGCCAUGAUCUGAAUACAUAAAGCAGAGAGAGCAGGAGACUCAUAAACGCGCCGCAAUAAUUCUGAUAGCGCUACUUUGUAGCUUAAUUGUUGAAUGAAUCCCUGAAGAACAAACAGUCCUGAAUUGCACACGUUGUAAUUACGCCGGGUUUCUAACUUUCGCGUUACUGCUGCAUCAACAGUAAGAGGAAGGAAUUCAGGAACAUCACUGGUUUAUUUAUCGCUUUGUUUAAACAUCAGCUUUUGAAGAAACCCGAUUAAGUUUGCGUUCACCUCCUCGUCCUGCAUUAGGUCCAUCAUUGUGUGAUUGUGCAGUUCUGACCAGUGAGCCAGAAAGACUCUGAUUCCCUGAUCCUCUUAUCGCUCCUCCAUAUUUAUAAAUCCCACAUCUAGCUCUGUUUUUAUAUUCCCCGGGUUCUGCUCUGUAAACUUCCACAUGCUCCAGUGUUUCCUUUGAGUGUGUGUGUGUGUGUGUGUGUGUGUGUGUGUGUGUGUGUGUGUGUGUGUGUGUGUGUGUGUGUGUGUGUGUGUGUGUGUGUGUGUGUGCGUGCGUGUGUGUGUGUGUGUGUGUGUGUCUGGCAUUAUGCUUUAAUUUCCAUGGAAUUAGGUUGCAGGAGAUUGGCCAGAAUGAGAUGGGAGAUUCUGAGGUUCCAGCCAAUAGAGCAACUGGUACUUUUCACACACACCUUCACAGACCUUUAGAUCCCCUCCUUCAUGCUGCUUCAAGCUUCUGUUUACUGUACAAUGUGGGGUGGAAACUUAGCUCGGCUGCCAUUAAAACGCAGGUGUUGGGAAGUGAUUUCAAAAACACUCAGGCACUGCUGAUGUGGAAAAAAAGCUUAAGGCAGGAAUGUUGAGGAUCUCCAUUAUCUUAUCCCCAAAAGCGAUUACACGUCGUUCCCAAAGUGGCACCAGUGGAACGGUCACAACAAAAUGCACCUUCCUAAAGUGUGUCUGAUUUGAACUGGCCCAAUAAAAGCCUUUUCCAAUAUCCCUCCCACAGCUGGGGCCCUGCUGCCGCAUCAGCCGGCAGACAUGCAGAGCUCCCUCACACCAGGUAAUGGCCGAGGCAAACACGGCGGGAGGCGCGAGGCCGGUGGAGGGGGCGGAGACGCUCAAACCCGCUCAAACAGCGCAUGUUCACACCCUGGGACCGGAGACAGGAGCUACUGUAUGUGAGCGAUGGGGGGGUUCAUUUCAAGCCCAAUCAAAGGCAGAGCGCUUCCUUUCUCAGCCUUAACAGCCACUUACGUCUGUCUGCGUGUUAAAGUCUUGGCUUCUCUGCGACUGGGACCCUUUAAAUGAUAAUAUACAAGCAUAUAUUUUCAGUCCAAAGCAAUAUCUUUGACUGAUAUCUUGGACAACGCUCUGAAGAAUGAGCCGCUCUUCCUGUGCUUCCCAGCAGCUGUCAUCGUCGCGUCAGAGGAGCAAAGCGGCGACCGAUCGUUAAUUAGGAGCUGGGGCCAAAAAGUAAAAGCUGGAUGAACAGGUCCUCCCAACGCAGUGAAGAGGCUUCAGAUGCGGACGGAGGAAACGCUGAUGCGGCGCUCGCCGCUGGUCAGACAGCAGUUACUUAACCCUCGGCUCCGUCAUUCCUGAAUGUUAACAAAUGCCCCACUUCAAUGUGGCAGCUGCCAAUAAAGAUGAUGAGUUUGAUCUGUCUCCUUUAGCACAGACGCAGCCUCUGCGCCUGUAAUAACCUGCUGCAUCAUUACUUGAGAUUAAUAGGGCUGUUAAUACGGUCGUUGAGCUGCCGACUGAAAUAUGGGCGACGCUUGUCAGCGGAGAUGGCGCUUUUGGACGCCGUGACACUGCUCCGGUGUCAGAGUUAUCGGUGCAACUGGUGCCGUUAGGAGGUAACAGCAUCCUGUGGCAUUUACACAUCACUGGUUUUCCACCUAUGAAUCCUGGGCUCUCCUGUCCAGUCAUGCAGAGUUCUGUCAGUGUAGAUUAGAUGAAGCUCUAGACUUCCUGUGUUUAUUUGAGUUGAGUUUAUGCAUCAGCAGGAUGUGACGGAGGAGGCGUGACCUCUGGCUAUAAUGAGUAUGAGCACACGAGUGAUGAGGUCACUAUUACUCGUGGAUGUGAAGAGCUGAACCUUAUUCUAUUUGCCAGAGUGGAUGUAAAACUGGCCUCUGUUCAUUGCUAAAUACAGUAUGUGAGGAACAGAACGAUCCAGAUGAGGAGGAAUAACUCCUCCACAGUUUGGAGCCACUCAGAGGAAGCAGUGAUUCAGAUGUUUUACAUAACGACGCAUGUUUUCUAAGAACAGGUUCUUAUGUGUAGCAACAGUCUGGGGGAGCAGUUUGUGCUCAGCCAAUCAGCCUUUAAAUCACCGGAUGCAGCUGCUCUUGGCCUCAUUCACUCCUGCCCUCGGCCCAAAGCGGCAGCGCCGUCCGAACGCGAGCGGCAGCUUCUGCUUCACUGCGUCAUAAACGCAGCGCGCGUGGACGUUCCUGCGGAGCUAAAAGUUUACUGUGGUUGUGAAGCCGACGCCUUCUAUAAGUCCUGGAGUUUCACCCAGAUUAUAUAGUGGCGGAGGUUGGAGGGCGGUCAUGGGCUGUCAGUUUUACAGGUGCUGGAUAAAAUAAUGAUGAUGGUAAUGGAAGGAAGAGUCAGGGGUCAGUGCAGUUGUGGGCAAGCGGCGUCCGGGUAAAUAGCAAAUGGUCUGCACUGAUAUAGAGCUUUUCUGCCUAAUUGCACUUGAAGCACUUUCCACUCAGCGGUGAGAGAGCGGCCGUGCACCUGGCCUCACUCACCUCAGGGAACGUGGGUCCAUCUCCUUGCCCAAGGGCAGGUGCCAAGGUUUGGAGGAGCCAGGUAUCGAACUACCAACCCUCAUUCAGGUCCAAUCUGAUCACAUUUGGCCUCAGUCCGUCCGCUACAUGUACGUUUUGAUUUGUGCCAGAUCGUGAUGCGGAAAGUCACUCAAAUGAAGGAAUGUUUGAUGUGGACAACCACUGAUAUCGCCAUAGCAACAGGACUGGCACCAGUAGUCCGCUGGCGGCGUCUCGGCGUCCAAUAGAAGGAGGAGAUGCAGUGUUUCAUAAAAGCGAUGCAGCUUCACGUGAGACGCCGUUUUCACCCGCUGAGGGCGGCGUCAUGGUGAGAAUCAGCUGUUAAUGGUUCAGGUCUGUCCAGGCCAAGUAUAAAUCAUACAAAUCAGGCUCAGAGUGACUUUACAUUUAUUUUAAAAGUCACCUCUAUUGAUCCAAAAAUACACAGUUGUCAUUCACCCUGAACAGAGCUUCCAACCGUCUCUUUCAAGUCCGUCUCUCGGCUGGAAUUAAUCCGUCUCCUCUGUAACUGAGAUUAUAGAGGAAUAAUCGUCUGCUUCUGUCUCCCGCUGUCACGGCUCUGAUUGGACGAGCGCUGGACGUGGAGCCGCGUGUCCUCGUCGUCUCCGUCAGGCUUUCGCUAAGUGACGGCGUCUGUCAGCAUUGUACGCGAUCAGUCAGUGGCUCCUGCGUUGCUCAACGCUUCUCCACAGGCGUGGGACAAACUGAGCGCCUGAUAAUCAGUAACAGACAGGCCGGUCAGGAUGCGCGGGUUCAGGCAGGGCCCCCCGCGGUGCCGGCUCACAGGACGGCCUCCCUCUCAGCAGGGGGUGGCGGUUUUCCACCAGAGUGAAGGUGUGCAUGGUUUUGGAUCGGUGGCUGGAUUUGGGGUUUGUCUCACUGCAUCGUGUGUGUGAGGCUGUUUCUGCUUCUUUGAUACGGUUCUAUUAUCACCCACUUUAAAGCGUAGUCAUUUGUUCAUUUUUUUCAAGGUAUAGACUUAAAACAUUUAAUGCAAAUAGCUGGAAAGCAAAGAUAUUCAUAAAUAUUGAUCGCAUUAGGAUACUAAUUUCCAAAGUUAUGGAUCCCUCAGGGACUUCACGAAGGGCACAGAUGACUUAAAGCGAGUGAAGAGAUGUAUUUCAAGCACGCGCAUUUAUGCUGAUGCUCAUACAUCUCAUGGAAAUAAUGGAAACUCGCCGCCUUUGGGCUUCCUCGAAUAAUUGAUGAAGUGCAAAUGGUCUGAAAAUGAAAAAUAUUUGUGUUCACUUGUUCUUCAACAGAAGGUCAGGUGUAGGUGUUACAGUAAUUCACCACAUAAAUAAUAACGGGCUCGCGGAGGAUGCGGUUUAUUUAUUUUCAUAAAAACAAUUGACAUUUUUUAAAACAGUGACUGUGAAACGGUGACUGACUGGACAAACGUACCGUAUGAUGAUGUAAACUCUGUUUGCCUUGUGGUUCCCACCUUGUGUCCUCACUGACUGAGUGUUGGAGGCUGGUUAGUGCUUCACUCCCGUCCAGUUAGAGCGUCCAGUAGGUGCUUGUGGCGCUGACAAACAGUUUCAUGCACAUUCAGUUGGAAUUUAUCUGCUGGCAGAAGUUCAAGCAGAGCUUAAAUCAAGGGAAACCGUCUGUGCCCUUAUGAGAGGAGCUUUUGCAGGCCUCACUAUUCUUACAUUCGACUGAUGUCUCCUCUUUUAUCCAGUAACGACAGUCUGAAAAUAGACAUUAACAGCUUCUGAUUAAUUUGUUUAAAACAUGAAAACUACUUAAAAGUAGAAUUUGUUCCAGGACUAAUAAAUCCCAGUAAAGGUCUGAAAGUGGCCCAGGUUCUCCAGGCCUGCAUGAAUCACACUAUAUUAUCAGUGCUAGCAAAGUAAAUUCAUUAAGUCUGUGGACUGUUCAGCUGAAAUUAAUCACGACGAGCCAGGAGGAACGAACAUGCUGCUAUAGAAGCGUGUGCAUGUUUAUCCGCGGAGGGCGCCGCUCAUCAAAAUGACACUUUGCAUUAAUGCUGCGUGGAGCCUUUAAAGCUGCAUGGGGCCAUUUGCUGCGGUGAAGCUCAUCAAUAGCAAUUUCCUUGAACACAGAAAGGCAGGAAGGACUCGACGCACCACACGAACCGCCGGCACCGUUGUUCCUGCUAAACUAAGCACGGCACACGCGCGGUCGCCCUCAGCCUCCUCUGAGCGCCAUUGGAAAUCAUUGGUGAUUGGCUCCUAUUGUUAAAGGCUGAGUCAAGCACCAGCCUGUGAGCUGCAAGGUGAUAAAUGGCAAAAUAAAGAGAUAUUUACCCCAUGACAACUCCUUUUCAAUUAAAGCCAAACACUUGUGAUUUUCAGCAUUAUCAGCAGCAAUAAUUGUUUGGUUAACGCUCCAUUAGCAGAGACAGCGUUGUGCUGUUUGUACAAGUGGAGCGAUUUAGACUUCCAUUGUUGUCACUCAGGGGAAACAGGAAGGACUCGAAUCAUCCGACAUCAAUUUAAUUAUAGUUCAGGGCGCGCUGUCUCCUGAGUGGCCUGUGCUAGCGCGGCUGUGACUGACACGAAACUGAGUUUAGCUACGUUUGCAGAUGUUUGGAGUGUAAAUAUGGUCACACACAGAAAAACACUAGUUCUGGUUAAGGACAAUAACUCCCUGUCUUAAUUAGCAAACCCUACGACUCCGGCGCUGACGCGCGCCAUCGCUUCGAUUAGCAGCGGCAGUAGCUUCACGGCUCGCUGUUUUAAUAGGCUUUUGAAAAGCAGCGGGCGAACACGACUGGGCGGAAGCGGAGCUCCGCGGCAGGUGAAAGAGCGAGAAGAGUGUGAACGGGGAAGAGGUAGCGUUAGCGCAGCCUUUAUCCUUUAAAUAAACAGCGGCGGGAGGCUGUGAUGACGGGGCGCGUGAGUGCUGAAGGUGGGAGCACUUUAAGUACCGCCGGUGGUGCUGGCCGCUAAUGGAAUUCAGCUUAGUGAUCAGCCACAGCGGGACCUCUGCCACUAUGGGUGUCACCCCGGCUCGUUCAUGAAUUAUUUAUGGCCGAGCCUAUAAAAUCACAUCCUUAGAAUUACAGAUUAAAAGACCAGAGGCGGCGGGUGAGACAGGGAAAAGGAGGAGGAGGACCUGAUCCCUCACCUGUGUCUCCGUGUGCUGCCUUUCGCUUUGCACCCGUUCACCGUCCGAACCUGGUCAUCCCGCCAGUCUGCAGCUAGCUUUACCGCUUCCUCCCGCUGCAGACGUGCAGCCAGCGUCAGCACUUUCAUGAACCUGACCUCCAGGUGAGACGCGUGACAGCUGUGUGUUUAUGGAACAUCCAGCGGCCGUCUCAUCGCAGGCUCGCUCGCCCCCCGCGGUGCCGGCGAGUCGGGCCGGCGGGGACAGAUGUGCCGCGUUUUCGGAGGGGGCCGUUUAUUACAGUCGACCGGUGGCGGGAACCUGAGAGAGAAGUGGGUGUAAACAUUUACUCUGCUUGUUAAAUGUGAGUGGUUCAAGUUUAGGAGGCGUUUUUCCCGCUCCCUCCUCGCUCACAGGCGCUUUACAGUGUGAAUGAACAGAGCUCACGCGACAAACACGCAGAUAUACUGUGAAGACGCCAACAUGGAGGCAUUCAGGAGCAGGUUCUGAGGAGCGCUGCUACGACUGUGAGCAGGAAGCGAUUUGGAUUUAAUGAAGCUUCUGUUGUUUGUCACCGUCCCCAGUCUGCGGGGAGGGCGCCUGAACAGAGUGGGCUAGUGCAGCACAUCUGUUCAGAAGGCGCUAGUAAUGAAGAGUAAACAAACCUCUGACAAAUUGAUCAUGAAAUUACUACAAUUAUGGUAAUUUUUUGUCUUCUGUUGCUUUGUUUGCUUGCUGCUGCUCUUUAAAAUUCUUCCAUAGUUGCAGAGACGCUACGGGCGAAUCCUCCGAAGGACAGGACCCACAGCUAACGGUGGACCGACGGUGGACACGCUGCAAAUGGACUGCUGCAAAAUAACAUCACAACUGCCAGGAGGUUCUGAGGGAGCGCUCCGUUCUGUCAGACGCUGGAAUGGAACAAUACAUACGUGAUUAGGAGGACGCGAAGCCCCAAUGAAUAUCCAGAAGACGGAUUAUGGUGGAACUGUUCACAUACAUCAAGAAACUAAUUAGGGCCGUGUCUCAGUUUUCUUUUCUGUCAGCAUUUUAUUGCAAAAUAAAACUACUGCAAAUAGUG
Long non-coding RNA from Betta splendens (Siamese fighting fish), 20742 nucleotides. RefSeq lists it as uncharacterized. The record is from RefSeq and is a predicted model, not a curated record. NCBI's taxonomy places the organism in Eukaryota, Metazoa, Chordata, Actinopteri, Anabantiformes, Osphronemidae. The transcript is spliced from 9 exons.